CGCCCUGGCCGGGCGUAAUCAAGGCCGACCGCAGCGGAGGCGACCCGCGUACCGAAAGCGUA
This 62-nucleotide non-coding RNA is filed under the name unclassified sequences. The record is from RNAcentral.